UGUCGCGAGCCCUUCGACGGCUUCAUUUCGGUUAGUUUUUCUUUUGAGCUCAUUUUGCUUUCCUUGGAGACAAGUUUACCUGCACGGUAAGCCUGAAAACCGCAAAGCCGAACUCUUAAGGGAAUUACAAGAGCCUGGAAACGCGGCCAGCUUUCACAGAGGAAGGAGGGAAAGAACAACAACGGAUGACAGCCGUUCCGCCCGCCUCAGCUGCAGGUACUCGGCGCGGCUCGGCCGCUGCUGCUGCAGCUCCCUCAGGACGCGGGGAGGGGCGGCUACCUCGGCGGCGCUGUAGAGCUCGGUGAGCAGCCCGCUGACCAGCGACGAGGUGCGGCUGGAGCGGCCGCUGCCGGGAACCUCCUCGUCCUCCUCGUCCUCCUCUUCGGCCAGGCUGUCCGCGCUGCUGCCCGCCCGGCCGCCCGCGCCUCGCUCCCCCGCCUCCAUCUUCCGCGGCCGCUCGGCAGCGC
Molecule: long non-coding RNA, 467 nt
Filed under: Gallus gallus (chicken)
Lineage: Eukaryota; Metazoa; Chordata; Aves; Galliformes; Phasianidae
Source: RNAcentral